AUUGGAACACUUGGAGAGCUUGUUAAAACAGUAUGCAACUUGAGCCAUACUCCAGUCUUACUGAUUUACAGAGUAUAGCAGUGAGGCGAGGGUAUGACUCUACAGUUGUACACUAAAAAUACGCCAGGUAUCAGGUUUACAAA
Molecule: microRNA precursor, 143 nt
Organism: Equus caballus (horse)
Lineage: Eukaryota; Metazoa; Chordata; Mammalia; Perissodactyla; Equidae
Source: Ensembl